GUGGCCGCCGAGGGUCGCGGCGCCCAGGCUGCCGGAGCCGCCGCCGUCUGGGCUCGGAUCCGGGAAGCUGCGGCGCUGCCGCGGCAGCGGCGGGCCCCUCAUUUGCAUGCGAUUAGCAUGCGCCCGCCCGCCUCAUCUGCAUGCGCAUUCCUCGCGCCGCAUUCCUGAGCUUAACCCCGCCGCUGCCAGCGUCGCCGCACCAGCUCGGACGCACUGCCCCAGCGGGGCCGCGGCUCCAGGUGGGAGGAAGGCGGGCGAAGGAAUGUGCGGCCAGCUCCCUCCCCUUGACCCCAGAUAGCUCCCCUGGGCCAAACGCCGAGAGGUUUUAGAGUUUCUGGACGGGGAAGAUUGCAAAAGUCUCCGCAACCUUCUCAACCUCUUUCGUCUUCUAGGGAAACCACAAAACUUUCGAGAGGAAAGGGGUGGCGGGCGGGGAGCUCUCCUCCGGAGAAAAAACCUCAACAAGCGGAGAGGGCACAAAGGCUCCCCACGCCGCGCCCCGAGCCCCUCCGGCACCCCAAGGGCGGUCCGGGGUGGUGGGAAAGCGCCAAGCCCUGGGAGUGCGUCGGUGGGUCCGGGACGGCGGGGCCUCCGCAGGGCUCCUGGCCCUCGAUGACCUCGGCUGAGACCGCGAGCCGCGCGGCGGAAAGCGGAGGAACUCCCGUCCGGCCCUGUAGCCGCCCGCACCGCGCCCCAAGUCACCCGCCGCCCCUUCGCGUCCGGGCGCUCCAGCCGCGGGGCCCCGGAAGCUCCUGGUCCCUGGCCUCCCCUGCUGGGUUCGGGGCGGUUGGCCGUGGACGCGCCCCGACUCUAGUCCCUUCCGUCCAGCCGCCCGCCCCAGGAUGUCCCCCCACCGCAGCCCCGCCGUGGCCAGGAGGUGUGGGCGGCCACGCCGGAGGGACCCACGGCGGCGCCGGACGCCCGCCCUUCCUAGGCCCUGGCCCGGCCGGGGUGGGCCGGGACGUUCCCUGUUGCAUAGGCAUUUAUUUAUUCAGCAGCUACUACGUGCUGGCCCGCACUGCCGAGGGACCGGACGCCUGCCCCAGGCGGGACAAUGCCGGGUGCAGCGCUGGCGGGGCCUGGACCCCAAGCUUCAGGGUCCCCAGCCCCUCAGUCAGAGGGGGCGCCUCCCAGGCCCUGGACUCCUCUCCAGCCGGGUCUACACCACCGUCCCCCGUCAUCUUCUUCUGGGUUACUGAGCAGCUUCUUUUAAAAUAGCAACACCGGGGAAGGCCCCGAAGCCCAGUCUUGCACCUCGUGGUGUGAAGUCGUUUAAUCCUGCCCGCUAAUGCGUAAGGACUUUCCCCCGUGUGCAGGACUCCGCGCUGGGCAGGGGCUCUCGCAGGGUUUGAACCGACCUCCGCCUCCCCUGCGGGUUCACAGGCCUGCGAGGAAGUCGCGUGAAGGAGAUUCGCUACUGUGUGAGGCUGGCCUGCGCGGCGUGGGCAGUAGCUGUCCGGGGCUGGGGACAGCUUUUGGCUCCCCAGGCCAUCCCGUCGGGGCAUCUGCGGCCAAUCUCGAAGGUGGAGAGGCUCAGGGUUGGAACAGACUUCACGGAAGGGGUCCUAGAAGAGGAAAGGGGUCGUGUUUGCCCUUAGAGCAGUCUGGGCGUGAAGCGGAAACUUUAAACCACCAGAAACUCUGGAGAGCUUGGAGCACCUGGGAAGGAGCAACCAGAGUGGGCCGGAGGUAGGGAAGGAAGGCACCCACGGCGAAUUUGACCGCAUUUAGGGCGGCCGCUUGUGCAGCCAGCCUUCUGGAAGGUAGGCUUUGCGCUUCGUGAAGAGAAGCCCCCACCUCCGGAUCUGUGUUCCGCCCCAGUCCAUUCAUCAGGAGGUGAUACACAAGUCAAGCUUCUCUAGUUCCCGGUGGAAUGAGACGCCCUGGUGGGGUCUUAAGGUUGAACGUUUGAAUACUGUAAAAAAGAUGGGACCUGCCUACAAUUAAUCUCUCACACUACUGAGCGAAUGUGCGUUGUUUUGGACUUCCCUAAAUUGGCCCAAAUGCAUAGCCAACACUUGAAUUGCGGUGUACUAACAUCAUUCAGCACCAAACCAAACCAUUCUUAUUUAAACCUUGCUUCCUAGCUUAUUUAUUUCCCAAACAACUUGAAAACAUUUGUUAUACUAAAAUGUCUACAUCUUACUAUUAAAAAAAAAACAAAG
RNAcentral lists this long non-coding RNA (2165 nucleotides) under Pan troglodytes (chimpanzee). RNAcentral's name for it is "lincRNA". The record is from RNAcentral. Lineage: Eukaryota; Metazoa; Chordata; Mammalia; Primates; Hominidae.